RNAcentral lists this small RNA (547 nucleotides) under Pongo abelii (Sumatran orangutan). Its description in RNAcentral is "processed transcript". The record is from RNAcentral. Lineage: Eukaryota; Metazoa; Chordata; Mammalia; Primates; Hominidae.
AACUAUUCUUAGCUCCGUCACUGACUCCAAGUUCAUCCCCUCUGUCUUUCAGUUUGGGUAAACAAUCAUGGGGCCUGGAAAAUGAGGCUUUAAUUGUAAGAUGUCCUAGACACGGAAAACCUAGUUACACAGUGGAUUGGUAUUACUCACAAACAAACAAAAAUAUUCCCACCCAGGAAAGAAAUCGUGUGUUUGCCUCAGGCCAACUUCUUAAGUUUCUACCAGCUGAAGUUGCUGAUUCUGGUAUUUAUACCUGUAUUGUCAGAAGUCCCACAUUCAAUAAGACUGGAUAUGCAAAUGUCACCAUAUAUAAAAAACAACUAGAUUGUAAUGUUCCAGCUUAUUUGAUGUAUUCAACAGUAUCUGGAUCAGAAAAAAAUUCCAAAAUUUAUUGUCCUACCAUUGACCUCUACAAUUGGACAGCACCUCUUGAGUGGUUUAAGAUGAGCAAGGCUUUUCUCUGUUUCCAGUAAUCAGAGCCCCUGCACACAAUGAAACAAAGGAAGUGGAAAUUGGCGCUCAGUUCUUGGCUGCCAUCCUGUGGCAG